This 240-nucleotide ribosomal RNA is filed under the name uncultured eukaryote. RNAcentral describes it as "partial 18S ribosomal RNA". It matches the Rfam family "Eukaryotic small subunit ribosomal RNA", at positions 1208 to 1456 of the family's 1831-position model. The record is from RNAcentral.
GGGAACCUCACCUGGCCCAGACACCGCGAGGAUUGACAGACUGAGAGCUCUUUCUCGAUUCGGUGGGUGGUGGUGCAUGGCCGUUCUUAGUUGGUGGAGCGAUCUGUCUGGUUAAUUCCGAUAACGAACGAGACCCCAACCUGCUAACUAGCCCUCGGGUCCUGCUUCUGUUGGGCCCGACGGAAUGAUUCGCUUCUUAGAGGGACUCGCGGCGCCUAGCCGCACGAAGGGGGGCGAUAA